RNAcentral lists this ribosomal RNA (549 nucleotides) under fungal endophyte sp. DM142. Its description in RNAcentral is "eukaryotic LSU rRNA". It matches the Rfam family "Eukaryotic large subunit ribosomal RNA", at positions 80 to 652 of the family's 3401-position model. Lineage: Eukaryota; Fungi. The record is from RNAcentral.
CUAGUACGGCGAGUGAGCAGCAAUAGCUCAAAUUUGAAAUCUGGCGUCUUCGACGUCCGAGUUGUAAUUUGUAGAGGAUGCUUCUGAGUAACCACCGACCUAAGUUCCUUGGAACAGGACGUCAUAGAGGGUGAGAAUCCCGUAUGCGGUCGGAAAGGUGCUCUAUACGUAGCUCCUUCGACGAGUCGAGUUGUUUGGGAAUGCAGCUCUAAAUGGGAGGUAAAUUUCUUCUAAAGCUAAAUAUUGGCCAGAGACCGAUAGCGCACAAGUAGAGUGAUCGAAAGAUGAAAAGCACUUUGGAAAGAGAGUUAAAAAGCACGUGAAAUUGUUAAAAGGGAAGGGAUUGCAACCAGACUUGCUCGCGGUGUUCCGCCGGUCUUCUGACCGGUCUACUCGCCGCGUUGCAGGCCAGCAUCGUCUGGUGCCGCUGGAUAAGACUUGAGGAAUGUAGCUCCCUCGGGAGUGUUAUAGCCUCUUGUGAUGCAGCGAGCGCCGGGCGAGGUCCGCGCUUCGGCUAGGAUGCUGGCGUAAUGGUCGUAAUCCGCCCGU